Molecule: ribosomal RNA, 253 nt
Filed under: uncultured bacterium
Lineage: Bacteria
Description: partial 16S ribosomal RNA
Rfam family: Archaeal small subunit ribosomal RNA
Source: RNAcentral
UACCAGCACCCCGAGUGGUCGGGACGAUUAUUGGGCCUAAAGCAUCCGUGGCCGGUCCUACAAGUCUUCCGUUAAAUCCACCUGCUUAACAGAUGGGCUGCGGAAGAUACUAUAGGGCUAGGAGGCGGGAGAGGCAAGCGGUACUCAGUGGGUAGGGGUAAAAUCCUCUGAUCCAUUGAAGACCACCAGUGGCGAAGGCGGCUUGCCAGAACGCGCUCGACGGUGAGGGAUGAAAGCUGGGGGAGCAAACCGG